AGUGAACGCUGGCGGCAGGCUUUACACAUGCAAGUCGAACGGUAACACACCUUCGGGUUCUUCUGAGUGGUGAACAGUGGAGUAAUGGAUCGGAACAUACCCGAAUCUACUUUUUAGCGGAGGGAAAGCUAGGGUAAUACCCGAUAAUACCGCAUACUAAAAACGGGUGACCAGGCGGCAUUUUUGGGCCUCGCGCGUUUGAAUGGGCCGAUGUCGGAUUAGGUAGUUGGUGGGGUAAAGGCCUACCAAGGCGACGAUCUGUAGCUGGUCUGAGAGGAUGACCAGCCACACUGGGACUGAGACACGGUCCAGACUCCUACGGGAGGCAGCAGUGGGGAAUAUUGGACAAUGGGCGCAAGCCUGAUCCAGCCAUGCCGCGUGCGGGAAGAAGGCCUUCGGGUUGUAAACCGCUUUUGUAGGGAACGAAAAGCAUCUGGUUAAUACCUCGCGGUGCUGACGGUACCCAAAGAAUAAGCACCGGCUAAUUACGUG
This 492-nucleotide ribosomal RNA is filed under the name uncultured bacterium. RNAcentral describes it as "partial 16S ribosomal RNA". It matches the Rfam family "Bacterial small subunit ribosomal RNA", at positions 29 to 507 of the family's 1533-position model. The record is from RNAcentral.